GCACAUAAAUCUCCACAAAGGCCAACUCCGUUUCAAGGCUGAGUACCACAGUACUAUAUAAUACUUUAAACAAUGCGAAGGUCUGCAGCUCUGCGCCGCCAUCCUUAUGCAAUAGACCCCAAGUCAUUUCGCUUGGAGGACAAGCGCGAGGCGGCACCACGCCGUUUCUCGAUGGCCCAAAUAGGACUGCAGAUCGCUCGCCAGGCGUGGCGCAAGACGCAGGACCUGUUUACGUUUCUGUUCCCUGAGGGCUACCGUGGCGGGCCUGGAAAAUGAAUUUUUGACCUCUCUUCGAUUCUGAGCUUUUCCGUCUUGGCUAUCACCACCUUGACGGACUAUUCACGAUUUUUUCGUUCUCUUUUUGUUUGUUCAACGUACCCAUUCUGCUGUAGCGCGACAAUCCAACUUCACUUUAUCUGGAGCUCGUCACACGCCUAUCGCGUGGUGCCAUGCAGCAGCAGACAAGUGCUACCGCAAUGCCCACGUGGGCACCGCAGCACAGCCUCUGCCUCACACUCUACCCGCCCCCCUGCCUCGCAGGUCAGGUCGCCUCACAGCCGCUCCCAUGGUGCCGGCAGCCACCUGAUGCAUCCCCCUCGAGGUGGCUCAGGCGCCCCACACCUGCAGGCAGUGCCAGGGCGGGGUGAAGAUGCAUUGGAGUGGCAUUGGCACUGUGCCCAUGAUGUGGAUGGCACACGCGUGUUCGCUGUCUCAGGCCGCUCCAACGCAACGCCGUCCACCACCCCACCGCCGACAUCAGCAGCCAUGCAUCGCUCUGGCAUCCUCAACCGCGUGGGUGAUUGUCGCUGGCACAACCAGAGUUGGCCCAGUAUUGGUAAGGUUAGGGGGGUGUCUGGCUUCAUAGAGUAUGUUCUGGACUCUUAUGCCACUCACUGAGGUGUCGCUGGCUAUUAAAGUCAAAAAGGUGGGCAUGGCAAAG
RNAcentral lists this unclassified non-coding RNA (940 nucleotides) under Leishmania donovani. RNAcentral describes it as "gene:unknown". The record is from RNAcentral. Lineage: Eukaryota; Euglenozoa; Kinetoplastea; Trypanosomatida; Trypanosomatidae.